UACGAAGGGGGCUAGCGUUGCUCGGAAUCACUGGGCGUAAAGCGCACGUAGGCGGCUUUUUAAGUCAGGGGUGAAAUCCUGGAGCUCAACUCCAGAACUGCCUUUGAUACUGGGAAGCUCGAGUCCGGGAGAGGUGAGUGGAACUCCGAGUGUAGAGGUGAAAUUCGUAGAUAUUCGGAAGGACACCAGUGGCGAAGGCGGCUCACUGGCCCGGUACUGACGCUGAGGUGCGAAAGCGUGGGGAGCAAACAGG
Molecule: ribosomal RNA, 253 nt
Filed under: uncultured bacterium
Lineage: Bacteria
Description: partial 16S ribosomal RNA
Rfam family: Bacterial small subunit ribosomal RNA
Source: RNAcentral